CAGCCGCCACGGUAAUACGAAGGGGGCUAGCGUUGUUCGGAAUUACUGGGCGUAAAGCGCACGUAGGCGGACAUUUAAGUCAGGGGUGAAAUCCCGGGGCUCAACCCCGGAACUGCCUUUGAUACUGGGUGUCUAGAGUAUGGAAGAGGUGAGUGGAAUUCCGAGUGUAGAGGUGAAAUUCGUAGAUAUUCGGAGGAACACCAGUGGCGAAGGCGGCUCACUGGUCCAUUACUGACGCUGAGGUGCGAAAGCGUGGGGAGCAAACAGGAUUAGAGACCCCGGUAGUCCCUGUCUCUUAUAA
This 301-nucleotide ribosomal RNA is filed under the name uncultured bacterium. RNAcentral describes it as "partial 16S ribosomal RNA". It matches the Rfam family "Bacterial small subunit ribosomal RNA", at positions 509 to 809 of the family's 1533-position model. The record is from RNAcentral.